AUUGAACGCUGGCGGCAUGCCUUACACAUGCAAGUCGAACGGCAGCACGGGUGCUUGCACCUGGUGGCGAGUGGCGAACGGGUGAGUAAUAUAUCGGAACGUACCUUAUUGUGGGGGAUAACGCAGCGAAAGCUGUGCUAAUACCGCAUAAUCCCUAAGGGGGAAAGCGGGGGACCGUAAGGCCUCGCGCAAUUAGAGCGGCCGAUACCUGAUUAGCUAGUUGGUGAGGUAAAGGCUCACCAAGGCAACGAUCAGUAGCUGGUCUGAGAGGACGAUCAGCCACACUGGGACGGAGACACGGCCCAGACUCCUACGGGAGGCAGCAGUGGGGAAUUUUGGACAAUGGGGGCAACCCUGAUCCAGCAAUGCCGCGUGAGUGAAGAAGGCCUUCGGGUUGUAAAGCUCUUUUGUCAGGGAAGAAUCAGCAGCUCUAACACAGUAUGCGAAUGACGGUACCUGAAGAAUAAGCACCGGCUAACUACGUGCCAGCAGCCGCAGUAA
RNAcentral lists this ribosomal RNA (501 nucleotides) under uncultured bacterium. RNAcentral describes it as "partial 16S ribosomal RNA". It matches the Rfam family "Bacterial small subunit ribosomal RNA", at positions 30 to 523 of the family's 1533-position model. The record is from RNAcentral.